Triticum urartu is the source of this 2972-nucleotide non-coding RNA. NCBI's taxonomy places the organism in Eukaryota, Viridiplantae, Streptophyta, Magnoliopsida, Poales, Poaceae. The record is from RefSeq and is a predicted model, not a curated record.
GAGAUUUCCCCUCUGAUUUAGUUGGAUUGGGGGAGGCUAGAGAGGCUUGCUUGUUGUUGUGUUUUCUGUGUGAGAGAGCAGAGAGAACUGAGAGAUCACAUGGAUCCAGUGUACAGAUGAGCUUUUGGUGUGGGGGUGGUGGUGGUGGUUGAGGUAGCAGGGAGAGGAUGGUCACUAGAUGGAAGAGUGCAGGGAAUGUUGCUUGCUACUGCUACUGCAUGUGCUAUUGUGUUAUUUUGUAAUAUUUCUGAACUGUUAGCGAUAUUGCCGCAGUGAGAUGAGCUUAUUUUGUAAUAUAUGGUCUUUUCCAGUGCAUUGCAAAACUAACUAAUAGUUUGUGAUCUGACACCCUGGUAACCUCAUGAUUGGGUGGUGCAUGCAGGGCACACCUCCGAGCUAGCCGAUGCUUAGUAUACCAGUGUUCUGCUGCAUCCGGUGCGACCUCAAAGAAUACCUUCGUCUAGCUGGCCGUUGAGCACCUUAGGGACGACGAGGUGCAGUGCCUGGGGUGUAAGCAGUUCAACUACACGAUGAAGUGAGUAAAGGGGUUAAGACGGUUGCAUUGUGCGUGCGCUGCUUGCUUGCUGUCAACUUGUUGGACAACUGUACACGUAUGUGUUUUUUCAAGCCCACUGAUUUCAGCCUCUCCGUCUCCUUCAAGCCGAUGAGAAGUUCAGGGAUAUUCCUGGGAGUGCCUAUUAUGUGGCUCCGGAGGUGCUGAAGCGGAUAUAUGGAGCCGAUAAUUGCAUAUGGAGUGCUGGAGUUAUACUCUACAUUCUGCUGUCUGGCAUUCCUCCUUUUUGGGCAGCAGGGCAGGUGCGUUCUCUGGCUGGUUAUGUCAAUCAAUUUUGGGGCUGUGAUGGAUGCAAAGACUGGAAGAUCCUCCUGUGAAGCAUAAAUUUCAUUGUAUCCAAGGAGAUAUCAAAUGCUGAAAACAUGGGACUCAAAAUGUAUAGAGUUGGAGACACUGCUAAACUGUCAUUUAUGGGUGUCUACCAAAUUCAUUAUCAACCACUGUUGUAGGACCGGCGGUUGGGAGGACAUAGACUAAGAGCUAUAUAUGAUGAUUCUACAAAAGAUAAUGUACUGGAAGACAUGAGAACUUUUAGGAUGCUACAGUGUAAAAAUAUUUGGAAUAUGGUAUGGUUAGCCGGACCGGAACCAAAGCAAGAACGAGAAGGAGCUUAAGUAGGGCCAUGUCGGGGUGUCGCCACAAUAGGAAAUUGUCGCUGGUGCUAGAUACCAGGGGAACCAAAAAAUCUUUUUUCUACAAAGGUAACGAACUUUUUGGGUCUAGAGGGGACCAAGAUGAGCAGGCCAGCAACAUCCUAUUCCUGCUUAUCUUUGUUUUCUUUGUAUCUGUAUUAUUAAUCUUGGUUUCAACUGGGUGUUGAGUGCAAUCUUCCGGGUGCAAUCCUCAAAUAUGGGAUGUCGUACUAGCCUUAAUUCAACAUCUGGAAUGGCUUAUGAUGGCAUGGAGUUCCAUCAUUUCGGCUGCUUGCGGCGGGGAGUGUGGCCGGUGCUUGCGGCAGCAGCGAAGCGGCAUGCGCGAGCGCAGUGUAGGCAGUGGCCAAAGGCUCAUCGGCCGCUGCGAGUACGCCGUUGGCACCAGGUUCAUGACAUUGUAAAAAAAAUCUUGAUUCAAUAUUCUUUCGUCAUUAUUCCUCUUUCAUGUUCUUGAUCCUUCAAGAUACUUGCUAGAUUUCUAGCUGAUAUUUUUUGGUAGUAUAAGCUCGAUGUAUAUGGCCUGAAUAUGACCUGAUUCAGAGUACAUUGUGUUCUGAAGCUUUUUACUGUAUGGUUCUCUCUUGAAAGAAUUCAAGCCAUUGUUCAAUGGGAGAGAACAGUUGUAAUCCUGAAAUAAAUGUCGUACCUAUUCAACAGCUGACACAAUUGCCACUGAGAUCAUUAUUUUCCUUUUUUACUCAGGUUUUCAACAUCACAAAUUUCAUACUAAUGGAGUGGAGCUACCAAAAUAUCUAUUGAGGAGUACCUUUGUGAAGCUGAUAUAUCUUUCUUUUACAAGAUAUGGUUGCACUUGCUUCAUCUACAUAGGCUGUCUGGAAUGCCAUGAGGCCGGGAUUGGUGUAGGAAAUCUUCAAAGCUAUUAUAUUGGUCUCAAGAAACUUGCAAUACAUCAAUGCAUUAUUAUUUUUAAUUUUUUUGCUGACACCACAGCUACCACCUCUUCACUAAAUGACAGAGGUUGCCAGCAACUGCACAUGGAAAGAUUUAAUGUUAUAUUAUGUCUACUAAUCAAUAAGGAGGGAGAUCAAAUUACUGCUCUCAAAUAUUCACCUGAUUGAUUUUGAAAAGAGGGUUAAAAAAUGGUGUUAUGAAUGAAGAUGGAUGGGGUUGAGGGCUGGGAGAAAGAUGUUGUAUUGCAAGAAGAAGUUGGUUAAGAAGACUGACGAUUAUGAGAAUGAAGGACACAAACUUUUGAAUUAGACCAAUUGUUUGAUCGACCAUUCUUGUUCUCUUGAAAACGAUAUAUGGUCAAUUUUAGUAUUCUGAUGUGAUUGAAGAAUAUAGGAGGGACAAAGAGAUGUGCUAUUGCCAGGACAGUUAUGACUCUCUAUUAAGGUAUUCAGGUAUGAUUGUCCAUGGUCAUGCUUCUCCUGUUCACCUGGAAGUUUAUUGAUGGGAGGGAAGCCACUUCUGCUUUGAUGAUUUCUUGGAAGUUCAGCUAGGUGAAUUUACAAUACAAGUCAGAUUAUUUGCGAGAGAAUUUCAUUCCCUAGAAUCAUUGUCAUUCUUGUUGCCUACAAGGUACUUGAAGAAAAUGCCCGAGACAUAUUUUAAGGAGUAUAAUUCACCACUAAGGCUAUUAUUACAACGAUGGAAUCUUUGUUGUGGUAGUUAUGUCUCCAAAUGCGUCGAUCCCUAUCGGCUACUGAAGUAAACUUAUUUAUUUUUUCUGUGUCGAUUUCUAUUGUCUUACUGAUAGCUUAUUUAUUCUUUUCGAAUUUUAA